RNAcentral lists this ribosomal RNA (459 nucleotides) under uncultured bacterium. Its description in RNAcentral is "partial 16S ribosomal RNA". It matches the Rfam family "Bacterial small subunit ribosomal RNA", at positions 355 to 803 of the family's 1533-position model. The record is from RNAcentral.
UGGGGAAUUUUGGACAAUGGGCGAAAGCCUGAUCCAGCAAUGCCGCGUGUGUGAAGAAGGCCUUCGGGUUGUAAAGCACUUUUGUCCGGAAAGAAAUCCUUGGUCCUAAUAUAGCCGGGGGAUGACGGUACCGGAAGAAUAAGCACCGGCUAACUACGUGCCAGCAGCCGCGGUAAUACGUAGGGUGCGAGCGUUAAUCGGAAUUACUGGGCGUAAAGCGUGCGCAGGCGGUUUGCUAAGACCGAUGUGAAAUCCCCGGGCUCAACCUGGGAACUGCAUUGGUGACUGGCAGGCUAGAGUAUGGCAGAGGGGGGUAGAAUUCCACGUGUAGCAGUGAAAGUGCGUAGAGAUGUGGAGGAAUACCGAUGGCGAAGGCAGCCCCCUGGGCCAAAUACUGACGCUCAUGCACGAAAGCGUGGGGAGCAAAACAGGAUUAGAUACCCUGGUAGUCCACGCCCU